AGCUGUCAGUGACAGCUUCGAAACAGAAAGAAGAAGAAGAAGAAGAAGAAAAAGACGAAAACAGUUUUGAUUUGUCUGCAAAUCGAUAGCCAGAAAUACAAAUCCCCCGAAGUUCGGAACAUUCCAACGAUGAACUCUGCGUGGCUAAGUUUGAUUCUGCUGGGAAAUCUUGUGCGACGCAACAGUGAAACGGACCAAAAUAUUAACCGUUCAAUUUGAACUCGUUAUAUCGGAUUUAUCAUGAUCUAGUGAUGAGUUUUGACUAUCUGGAAUACUCCACAUAAUUUAAGGCAAGAAUCGCACGAAUGUGCAUAGGAUAGUUUGUAAGAAUCGCUUUAUCGGCUUCCGUGACAACGAAUAAUCGUAAACUUUCGCCGACGGAACUGAUUCUCCAAACCGAUCAUCUGCCAACGUCAGUCAGAUAUCGACAGCAUAACAAAUAUUACAAUUUCUCAGAAUGAUAAUACGGUUUGACAUACCAGGGUUGUUAAUAGGAAAAUCGUCGGUCGUAUAGCUAACGGGCCUGCGCAUGCCACACAUCUAGUAAUGACACGAGUACCCAGAACAGAAACAAAUUACGUCAUUGGCCUGUGUUGGAUACUGACUAUGAAGUAACUGGAUAACCGAAAAUUCUAGUGCAUUCCUACCGGUUGAUGAACCCUUCGAGUGAAUCCAUACAUUCGGAAUGUGAAACAAACGAUUGAACAGGAAGAUCCGGUGGAAACUUCAUGCAACCAUUUAUUCAAAAAAGUAAAGGCGGUGCGUGCCAAAUCUACAUGACUGUUAAGGUCAUUGGUAUGGCUGGCUUAAACGAUAGUGUUCGCUACAAAGAAGUAAUACGUGUUUCGUGGUGGAUGAAUAUAUAUUUUAUUUGUAAGCACUAAUUUCGUUACAGAUUAUCGUUGAAGAUUAUUACUGUUAAUGCAAUGUUUAGUGAUUAGCUGUAAUCGUUUUAAGGACACUUCUCGUUUUGAUUUUCCUCCGAAGUGCAUGGUCGUACCAUCGUUAUUACCUGCUAACCCAACUAACUCGUCAAGAAUUUGAUUCGGAGUUCAGUAUGAUCUUCAAAUGGAUUCCGAAUCAAAUACAACAACCGAUUCCGAACCGAUCCGAGUCGGAAUCGAUUGUUGCAUCUGGUUCGGAAUCCGUUUGGAAAUCAUACUUCCAAAUCAAAUUCCAUACGAAUUGAUUGGAAAAGGGGCUAAAGGAGAUGAAGACAUUUUGUAUUUCAGUCAACUCCUGCAAAAUGUGAUAAUUUCUUUAGUGAGUGAGAAAGUUCGUUCGUUACAAGUAUUGUUGUAUUAAAAAUAAAUAAUCCGUUCCAUAAUA
This is a long non-coding RNA of Malaya genurostris, 1329 nucleotides long. RefSeq lists it as uncharacterized. The record is from RefSeq and is a predicted model, not a curated record. The transcript is spliced from 4 exons. Lineage: Eukaryota; Metazoa; Arthropoda; Insecta; Diptera; Culicidae.